UCUACGGCUGGCCUAUAAACAUUAUAGUCUCUUUACUAAACCUUGUAUAUUUUUUUUACUAAAUGAAAUUAUUGUUAAAGUGUUAAGUAGGGAAAAGUGAUUAACAUUACUGAUAAGUGAUAACAGUAACAACACCGAACCCAACAUUAAUUCAGGACGACGUGUGUAAUAGUCGUUUUAAAUUCUUACAAACACUCAAAAUUUUCAUUUGCUAUGUUAUAUUUACAUGAUUUUAUGGUUUCGCCUUACCAAACUAGUUUAUGAGGGAUUUAAUGGGGUUCUUCGUAAAAUUGCUUACAAGCCUAUAUGCUGAGUUUCCAUUCUUGCGAUUGUGCUGAAAUGUGAUGUGACUUGUCGGGUAAACCCAAAAUCCGCAAAUAAAAGUUCUCUAAAAACCUCUAAAAUUUCGUAACUGCAAUAUAGCAUGGGCAUCGGAUUUUGAAAAUCGCUGAGGUCAGAAAUAAUAUGAAGAAAACUCAUAAAUAUGAAGAAAGUUACUGUAAAUAAUUUUAAAAUAUUUAUUUUUCUAUUCUCACCUAUUUUGAAAAUGUUAAUAAAAUAUUAAUGACUAUAAUAAAAGUACAAGAUGGCUAAAAUAAAGCGACCAAAAAGUGUUUUUUUCUGCGUUUUUUGUACGAAACUUAACUUAAAGUACGAGCUUAAAAAUUUGAAAUAAAAAAAAUUAAAUUACUUAAAUUUUUAAAGAACAAAGUGUUUCAAAUCACGCGCCCCAAAAAAAUUCCAAGUAAGAUAGGA
This is a long non-coding RNA of Tribolium madens (black flour beetle), 756 nucleotides long. RefSeq lists it as uncharacterized. The record is from RefSeq and is a predicted model, not a curated record. NCBI's taxonomy places the organism in Eukaryota, Metazoa, Arthropoda, Insecta, Coleoptera, Tenebrionidae. The transcript has 3 exons.